Molecule: ribosomal RNA, 408 nt
Filed under: uncultured bacterium
Lineage: Bacteria
Description: bacterial SSU rRNA
Rfam family: Bacterial small subunit ribosomal RNA
Source: RNAcentral
AUCUUUGGGGAAGUUUGCACAAUGGACCCAAGCCUGAUCCGGGAAUGCCGCGUGAGUUAAGAAUGUCUUCUCCUUGUAAAGCUCCUUUAUCCGGAAAGAAACGUGAACGCUGAAUAUCUCUUGCUAUUGACUCUACCUGACGAAUACGCACCGACUAACUACGUGACAGCUAUUGCGAAUCUACGUACGUAGCAAGCGUUAAUCGGAAUUACUGCGCCGAAAGCGGGCGCCGGCGGUUUUGUCAGUUUGUCGUGCACGCCCCGGACUCAACCUGAGAAUUGCAAUGAAAACUGCAACGCUUGAAUCUGGCAGAAGAUGCUAUAAUUCCACGUGUAACACCGAUAUGCGUAGAGAUCUCCUGGACCUUUUCUGGCGCUGGCACCCCCCUGCUCGAGAUCGAACCUCAUG